This is a non-coding RNA of Myxocyprinus asiaticus (Chinese sucker), 778 nucleotides long. The record is from the annotation of a RefSeq genome assembly. Lineage: Eukaryota; Metazoa; Chordata; Actinopteri; Cypriniformes; Catostomidae.
AUGGGAGUUCGUGAGAUGGUGUGUGCGUUUCAAGCCCAGGCAAGUGAGUCUCCCGACACGCGGGCGCAGAUCCGAGGAAUCCUCCUCCAACAGACAGGUGCAACACUGGCAAGGGCGACGGCGAUCUGCAAUAAAACUUGUCUGGAGGUUUUUGUACAGCGAGUGUAUGAGAAUGUAUCACUGUGGUGGACUUUUGGUGGAGGAACCAAACUAAGUGUUGGAACUGAUGCUCAGCCCACUCUAACGGUCCUGCCGCCCUCCAGAGAUGAGUUGAAGCAGGGUAAAGCUACAGUCAUGUGCGUGGGCAGUAAGGGAUUCCCCUCUGACUGGCAGCUGAGCUGGAAGGUGGAUACUAGCAGCAGGAACUCUGGUGUGAAUGUGAGUCCAGGUGUGCUGCAGAAGGAUGGACUGUACAGCUGGAGCAGCAGUCUGACUCUCACUGAGAGUGAGUGGAGCAGAGCAAACACCAUCAGCUGUGAGGCCACUCAGAGAUCCCAGAAUCCAGUCACCAAAAUCCUGAACACACAAGAGUGUGAUGUGGAGUGAAACUACAGAAGCCACAGAUGUAGACACUGAUAGGCCUUCACAUUCACAUUCACACUUAUACUCCCAUAUUUACAGUCUCACACUGUCCUAAAUUAGUAAAUUGGUUAACAAUUAAUCUUUCCUCUCUUAGCAUGCAGCUCAAACCUUGUUUUAUUUUUUGUAAUGCACUGCAGACCUUUGCUGAAUUUUUGAUUAUUUUGUACUUGUUGCCAAAUAAAAGCAUUUUAACUCA